GACUAUGGCCAUACCACCCUGAACCAGCCCGAUCCCGUCUAAUCUCGGAAGCUAGGUAGGGUCGGGCCUAGUUAGUACUUGGAUGGGAGACCACCUAGGAAGACCAGGUGCUGUAGGCG
This 119-nucleotide ribosomal RNA is filed under the name Pteropus alecto (black flying fox). The record is from RNAcentral. Lineage: Eukaryota; Metazoa; Chordata; Mammalia; Chiroptera; Pteropodidae.